CAGCCGGGAUCCAGGGUCCACUCGGGUCAGGACAGAUGCGGACACUCACCAUGGAGCGUGGGCUGAGCUGGUUACUCCUCCUGGCUCUUCUAGGGGGUGUCCAGUGUGAGGAGAAGCUGGUGGAGUCUGGGGGAGACUUGGUGCAGCCUGGGGAGUCUCUCAGACUCUCCUGUGCAGCCUCCGGAUUUUACUUCAGCAGCUACUGGAUGUACUGGGUCCGCCAGGCCCCAGGGAAGGGGCGACAGUGGGUUGCAGGUAUCAAUAACAAUGGUGGUAGCACCGGCUACGCGGACUCCGUGAAGGGCCGAUUCACCAUCUCCAGAGACAAUGGCAAGAACUCGCUGUAUCUGCAGAUGAACAGCCUGAAGCCCGAGGACACGGCCCUGUAUUACUGUGCAAGACACAGUGAAGGAAGCAGGCCCACAGCGACCCGCAGAGCCGUGGGUCACUGCCUGGAUAGGAAUCUAAUUCAGGUCAAAGGGGUGAGAGCGCUGAGAUGUAACCCUGACCAGCAGGGAGUCCCCUGA
Molecule: non-coding RNA, 527 nt
Organism: Condylura cristata (star-nosed mole)
Lineage: Eukaryota; Metazoa; Chordata; Mammalia; Eulipotyphla; Talpidae
Source: the annotation of a RefSeq genome assembly